GACGAACCGUGCGAACGUUGUUCGGAAUCACUGGGCUUAAAGGGCGCGUAGGCGGGCUUACAAGUCCGGGGUGAAAGCCCCCAGCUCAACUGGGGAAGUGCCUUGGAUACUGUAAGCCUCGAGGGGGGUAGGGGCGUGCGGAACUUCCGGUGGAGCGGUGAAAUGCGUAGAUAUCGGAAGGAACACCGGUGGCGAAAGCGGCGCGCUGGACCCCUUCUGACGCUGAGGCGCGAAAGCCAGGGGAGCAAACGGG
RNAcentral lists this ribosomal RNA (253 nucleotides) under uncultured bacterium. Its description in RNAcentral is "partial 16S ribosomal RNA". It matches the Rfam family "Bacterial small subunit ribosomal RNA", at positions 524 to 776 of the family's 1533-position model. The record is from RNAcentral.